UGGGGAAUAUUGCACAAUGGGCGAAAGCCUGAUGCAGCAACGCCGCGUGAGGGACGACGGCCUUCGGGUUGUAAACCUCUUUUAGCAAGGAAGAAGCGAAAGUACGGUACUUGCAGAAAAAGCGCCGGCUAACUACGUGCCAGCAGCCGCGGUAAUACGUAGGGCGCAAGCGUUAUCCGGAAUUAUUGGGCGUAAAGAGCUCGUAGGCGGUUUGUCGCGUCUGCUGUGAAAACCCGAGGCUCAACCUCGGGCCUGCAGUGGGUACGGGCAGACUAGAUGCGGUAGGGGAGAUUGGAACUCCUGGUGUAGCGGUGGAAUGCGCAGAUAUCAGGAAGAACACCGAUGGCGAAGGCAGAUCUCUGGGCCGUAACUGACGCUGAGGAGCGAAACGGGUGGGGAGCAAACAGGCUUAGAU
This 415-nucleotide ribosomal RNA is filed under the name uncultured bacterium. Its description in RNAcentral is "partial 16S ribosomal RNA". It matches the Rfam family "Bacterial small subunit ribosomal RNA", at positions 355 to 783 of the family's 1533-position model. The record is from RNAcentral.